GGGCUUCCACGGAGGCCUCCGUGUAGGCCGCAGUGAAGCCUGAACUCGAGUAGGGCCCAAGCCAGCCAGGAAGGAGGAGGCAGCCAGAGUGUUCUCUGCAGCAGAAGACCCCUUGCUGCCCAGCAUUUGCCAGGUUGGGCAGGAUCUGAGCCUUCCUGGCCAGGAGGACCAGUAGAGUGGACCCCCUGGAUGCCCCAAGGGAGUCCGCAGCCUCUGGGCCAGCUACCGCCCCAUGGUGGUGCAUCUGUGGGCAGAGGAACCGGGUGGCACCCGCUGCCUCCCUCACUGCUGCCCUGCUGUCUCCCUCGCUGCCACCAGCUAGAGAGAGCAGCAAGCCAGGGCCCUCAGAGCCGCCUGCGCAGGAUGCUGGAGCUUUCACAGCCUGCCCCGUGAUCACUGCCAGGCUCCAGACAGUGAAGCAGUCCAGAACCCUGAAGGAAGGAGGAAGGAAGGAGAGGAGGUCCUGGAUGGACUUCCUAAUGGCUGUCAUCCAGGCAUGUCAGGAUCAGGAAGCCACCCAGAGAGGGGUGCGGCACCUCCCCUUCUCCAAGGGAUUAGCAGUCCAGGCCGUGCUGAAGGAGAUGGACAAUAUAUGGGAGGAUCCCGUCCGCACUACCUAGUCUCACUUUGCAUGGAGGCCAUCACCUCCUUGAGGUAUGUGGGCGGGAUGGGUCUGGAAGGGGGGAGUGGUGUGGAAAGUAGCAGGAACCUACCCACCACAAUAAUUUGAGGGAGGCCAA
Molecule: long non-coding RNA, 740 nt
Organism: Hemicordylus capensis (graceful crag lizard)
Lineage: Eukaryota; Metazoa; Chordata; Lepidosauria; Squamata; Cordylidae
Exons: 5
Source: RefSeq, a predicted model, not a curated record